UAUGACUAGUGCAAAUUUCUG
This 21-nucleotide non-coding RNA is filed under the name Caenorhabditis elegans. Lineage: Eukaryota; Metazoa; Nematoda; Chromadorea; Rhabditida; Rhabditidae. The record is from RNAcentral.